GAUGAACGCUAGCGGCAGGCUUAAUACAUGCAAGUCGAGGGGCAGCGCAGUGUAGCAAUACAUGGGCGGCGACCGGCAAACGGGUGCGGAACACGUACAGAACCUUCCUUCGAGCGGGGAAUAGCCCAGAGAAAUUUGGAUUAAUACCCCAUAGUAUAUUGAUAAGGCAUCUUAUUAAUAUUAAAGAUUUAUCACUUGAAGAUGGCUGUGCGGCUGANAGGUAGUUGGCGGGGUAACGGCCCACCAAGCCUGCGAUCAGUAACUGGUGUGAGAGCACGACCAGUCACACGGGCACUGAGACACGGGCCCGACUCCUACGGGAGCAGCAGUAAGGAAUAUUGGUCAAUGGACGCAAGUCUGAACCAGCCAUGCCGCGUGGAGGAUGAA
This 387-nucleotide ribosomal RNA is filed under the name uncultured bacterium. RNAcentral describes it as "bacterial SSU rRNA". It matches the Rfam family "Bacterial small subunit ribosomal RNA", at positions 28 to 412 of the family's 1533-position model. The record is from RNAcentral.